This 1721-nucleotide ribosomal RNA is filed under the name uncultured Tintinnida. Its description in RNAcentral is "eukaryotic LSU rRNA". The stretch from base 307 to 1721 matches the Rfam family "Eukaryotic large subunit ribosomal RNA", at positions 1 to 1462 of the family's 3401-position model. The record is from RNAcentral. Lineage: Eukaryota; Ciliophora; Spirotrichea; Tintinnida.
ACGAUGAAGAACGCAGCGAAGUGCGAUAGGCAAUGCGAAUUGCAGAACCGUGAGUCAUCAGAUUUUUGAACGCAACUGGCACCGAGGGGAUAUCCCCUCGGUAUGCCUGUCUCAGUGUGUGUUUUUUUCCUCACCCAAAUCUUAAUGUGAAAGAUGCCCUUCUUUCAUUAAACACGAAAGCACUCUGCGCUUUGCAGUGACCUUCGGGUCGCACUCAAUGCAGCAGUCACAUUUUACAAUGUGAACUCAUUGAGCGUAAAGGCAGUGCAGCUCGUCUGCCAGUGCUUAGAGUUACAAAUUUUACUUGCAUCUGAGAUCAGGUAGGACCACCCGCUGAACUUAAGCAUAUCACUAAGCGGAGGAAAAGAAACUAACCAGGAUUGUCUCAGUACCGGCGAGGGAAGCGGCAAGAGCCCAAGGUGGUAAUCUCCGGCCUGAGGUCGGCGAAUUGUAAUCUAAAGGGACGGAGCCUAACGGGCUGAGGCGCAGAAGUGGUCACGAGAGACCCGCCAGAGAGGGUGAAAGCCCCGUAUGUGGUGCCUCGGCUUACCGGGCUGCGGACUGAAGAGUCGAGUUGUUUUGUAUUGCAGCUCUAAGUGGGAGAUAAACUUCUCCUAAGGCUAAAUACGUGUGGGAAACCGAUAGCGAACAAGUACUGUGAAGGAAAGAUGAAAAGCACUUUGAAAAGAGAGUUAAAAGACCUGAAAUCGUUGAGGCGGAAGCGGUAGAAGAUAAUUCUGGCUGCGGCACCGCGAACCCUGCGUUAGCGGGGGGGUAGUGACGCGGCAUGAGCCAGGAUGGGGUCGUACGACGGCAGAGGCGGCAGGCGCGCGGGUGGCGACACCAGCGUCGGUUGGCCGGUCGGGUGCGGCUCGAAGGGCUUAGUGCGAUCUUGGCAAAAUGGAUUUUACCGACCCGUCUUGAAACACGGACCAAGGAGUCUAACACGCGCGCGAGUCUGGUGGUGGAAAAACCAACGGGCGAAAUGAAAGUGAUUGGUGCCAAGUGUACGCAGCAUCGACCGACCUUGAUCCACUGGUGAAGGGUUUGAGUAAGAGCGUGCUUGUUAGGACCCGAAAGAUGGUGAACUAUGCCUGAUUAGGGUGAAGUCAGGGGAAACUCUGAUGGAAGCUCGUAGCGAUACUGACGUGCAAAUCGUUCGUCGAAAUUGGGUAUAGGGGCGAAAGACUAAUCGAACCAUCUAGUAGCUGGUUCCCUCCGAAGUUUCCCUCAGGAUAGCUGGGACAAUGACGCAGUUUUAUUAGGUAAAGCGAAUGAUUAGAGGCAUCGGGGAUAAAAUGUCCUCGACCUAUUCUCAAACUUUAAAUUGGUAAGAACCCUGGCUUCGGCUUAGUUGAAGUACGGGGGCUCAAUGCGUGUCCUUAGUGGGCCAUUUUUGGUAAGCAGAACUGGCGAUGAGGGGUGCUCCUAACGUUGGGUUAAGGUGCCUAACUACACGCUCAUCAGAAACUACAAAGGGUGUUAGCUCAUUUAGACAGCAGGACGGUGGCCAUGGAAGUCGGAAUCCGCUAAGGAGUGUGUUACAACUCACCUGCCGAAUGAACUAGUCCCGAAAAUGGAUGGCGCUCAAGCGUGUGACCGAUACCCGACCAUUGGCGCGAGAGUUAGGCGUCAAUGAGUAGGAGGGCGUGGGCGUCGUUGUGAAGCCUCUGGCGUGAGCCUGGGUAGAACGGCGUCUAGUGCAGAUCUUGGUGGUAGUA